CUCGCCUUCUGUCAGCGGUCCGGGGGCUCCCAGUUCUGACAAUCCAUCAUACAACUCCUCCCAGUCCUCCGCAUAGGGACCUCGAUUGCGGUUGGAUCUGGCACCGUUACACUGUUUUGGUUCGAUUGUUAGGCUGGGAAUGCUCCCUUCGCGGCUCGCUUUCCUAGCUUGUUCGCCAUUGCGGAAGAGCCGCGGAUAUCUGUCGCGGUGGCCCUUAUUGACUUAGGGCAACUAGUGUUCCGGCGACCGUUCGGACCCGCAGAGACCGCCGAUUGGCAUGACUUGCUUGACUGCAUCGCACUGCACGAGCCUGAUUUGGAUAUGGGAGAUGACUGCAGCAGGUGGUGACUAGAGCCAUCUGGCCAAAACUCCACCAAAUCCCUUUACCAGGCGAUCGCCCCCUCCCCGAGACCCGAGGCUCUCAGCACCAUUUGGGAGAUCCGACUCCCCCUGAGGAUUAGAAUUUUCUUGUGUCAAUGGAUCCGCGGCCGCCUUCCGUCCGGCGUGGAGGUCUUGAAGCGCAAUGGCCCUGGCGACGGGCGUUGCCCGCUAUGUGGGCCCGAAGAGGAUUUAAACCAUAUCUUCUUCACAUGUAUGUCCGCGCAAUUCUUCUGGAGCUGUUUCCACGAAAUAGCGGGUGGCAAUUGGGACCACAACAACUUCCCCGCUCUUUUUUGCCAAACUUCAGGCAUUACUACCCUCGUCUUGCCACAUUAG
RNAcentral lists this ribosomal RNA (717 nucleotides) under Triticum aestivum (bread wheat). RNAcentral describes it as "partial small subunit ribosomal RNA". Lineage: Eukaryota; Viridiplantae; Streptophyta; Magnoliopsida; Poales; Poaceae. The record is from RNAcentral.